This is a non-coding RNA of Kogia breviceps (pygmy sperm whale), 900 nucleotides long. NCBI's taxonomy places the organism in Eukaryota, Metazoa, Chordata, Mammalia, Artiodactyla, Physeteridae. The record is from RefSeq and is a predicted model, not a curated record.
CUCCAGCAACGGCUCCCCUACUCCGCGUGCAUCGUCUUUCAGCAGCCUUCUGUGCACCUGCGGGGAGAGUGGCCAGGAGAGAGUAUUGGCCCCACCGUCCACUCCAGCUCCAGGUGCCGCUGUCCCGGGUACAGACGAACCACCUGGGAACACCAGGCUGAGAAGUUCUGGUGCACUUCCUGCACCAAGGCUGUCUGUAGGCACAUGGGGGUGAAGGGCAGGUGUAAGCAUGCAGCUGAGCAGAGGGGACAUGGGUUCGAGCCCUGGUCCAGGAAGAUCCCACAUGCCACAGAGCAACUAAGCCCGUGUGCCACAACUACUAAACUGUGUUCUAGAGCCUGCAAGCCACAACUACUGAGCCCAAGUGCCACAACUACUGAAGCCUGUGUGCGUAGAGUCCAUGCUCCACAACAAGAGAAGCCGCCGCAAUGAGAAGCCUGCACGCCGUAAUAAAGAGUAGCCCCCCCUCCACAACUAGAGAAAAAGCCUGCACGCAGCAACAAAGAUCCAAUGCAGCCAAAAAUUUUAAAAAAUUAAAAAAUAAAAAGAUAGAAGACUAGAUGACCACUGAACCAUCCUACCUGCCCAGACUUUCCGUUAGAUGGAAAGAAACUUCCAUCUUGUUUUAGGCAUGGUUAAUUUGGGUAACUCUGUUACAGGAAGCAAAACUAUAUCCUAAUACAGUGACCCAGGUAUGCAGGUGUUCACCUCAAGGAGAAUCAUGUCAAAUGUGAGGCUUGCCGUUACCUGCCCCAUUCCCACCCUAAGAGGAAACGUCAACGAGAGGCCCCAGGAAACCCCACAAGCCUGAGCCCCUGUUCCCAGCCAGAUGCACCCUCAAAUAUCCACCCUAAGUUAGAACCACCCAAGCUCUAUCCAAGUGUGAACCUUUAAAUAUCC